Molecule: ribosomal RNA, 494 nt
Filed under: uncultured bacterium
Lineage: Bacteria
Description: partial 16S ribosomal RNA
Rfam family: Bacterial small subunit ribosomal RNA
Source: RNAcentral
GACGAACGCUGGCGGCGCGCUUAACACAUGCAAGUCGAACGGAAAGGCCUGCUUUCCCUUGUGGAUUGCGGGUACUCGAGUGGCGAACGGGUGAGUAACACGUGAGUGAUCUGCCCCCAACUUGGGUAUAAGCCUGGGAAACUGGGUCUAAUUCGCGAGAGGACUGCAGGGUGGUGCCUGUGGUGGAAAACGAUUUUCUAGUGGUUGGGGAUGAGCUCGCGGCCUAUCAGCUUGUUGGUGGGGUAAUGGCCUACCAAGGCGGCGACGGGUAGCCGGCCUGGGAGGGUGGACGGCCGCAUUGGGACUGAGACACGGCCCAGACGCCAACGGGCGGAAGCAGUGGGGAGUCAUGAGCAGUGAGCGGAAGCCUGAGGCAGCGAGGCUGCGGGGGCGAUGACGGGCUUCGGGUUGUGAACUACUUUCGACAGAGAGGAAGCAACAUGGUUGGAAGGGUGGUGACGGUAGUGGUAGAAGAAGCACCGGCUAACUACGUG